CAAUAGCGUAUAUUAAAGUUGUUGCAGUUAGAACGCUCGUAGUCGGAUUUCGGGGCGUUCCGACCGGUCUGCCGAUGGGUAUGCACUGGCCGGAGUGUCCUUUUUGCCGGAGACCGUGCCUACUCUUAACUGAGCGGGGGCGGGAGACGGCACUUUUACUUUGAAAAAAUCAGAGUGUUUCAAGCAGGCAGCUCGCUCUUGCAUGGAUUAGCAUGGGAUAAUGAAAUAGGACUUUGGUGCUAUUUUGUUGGUUUCGAACACCGAAGUAAUGAUGAGAAGGGACAGUCAGGGGCACUCGUAUUCCGCCGAGAGAGGUGAAAUUCUCAGACCAGCGGAAGACGAACCACUGCGAAAGCAUUUGCCAGGGAUGUUUUCACUGA
RNAcentral lists this ribosomal RNA (380 nucleotides) under uncultured eukaryote. RNAcentral describes it as "partial 18S ribosomal RNA". It matches the Rfam family "Eukaryotic small subunit ribosomal RNA", at positions 592 to 976 of the family's 1831-position model. The record is from RNAcentral.